UACGAAGGGGGCUAGCGUUGUUCGGAUUUACUGGCGUAAAGAGCGUGUAGGCGGCCCGGUAAGUCCGCUGUAAAAGUCAAAGGCUCAACCUUUGAAUGUCAGUGGAUACUGCCGGGCUAGAGUCCGGAAGAGGCGAGUGGAACUCCUGGUGUAGCGGUGGAAUGCGCAGAUAUCAGGAAGAACACCAACGGCGAAGGCAGCUCGCUAGGACGGUACUGACGCUGAGACGCGAAAAGCGUGGGGGAGCGAACAGG
Molecule: ribosomal RNA, 254 nt
Filed under: uncultured bacterium
Lineage: Bacteria
Description: partial 16S ribosomal RNA
Rfam family: Bacterial small subunit ribosomal RNA
Source: RNAcentral